UAAUAGAAGUCAUGUAAUCUGAAAAAUGUGUUAUCUAGAUUUGAGAAGUUUAUUAGUCUGAGGGCUAGUCUUCAUUGUCAACUCAAUUUCGAUUUAGAAUCACCAUGGAAACAAAUCUGGGUAUGUCUAUGAGGAUGUUUCUAGAAAGAUUUAACUUUGAUAUGGGCAACCCCAUUCCUUGGACUAAGGUCUUGGAUUGAAUGAAAAGGAGAAAACAGACUGAGUGCCUGCCCUCAUCGCUCUCUGCUUCCUGACUGUGGCUACAGUGUGACCAGCUGCCUCAAGUUCCUGCCGCCAUGUCCUCUCCACCAUCAUGUGCUGGACUCCAACAGGAGCCCCGAGAGACCCUUCCUUCCCGAAGCUUCUCCUUCCGGUGUUUCAUCACAGCAAGAGGAAAAGAAACCAGCAACUUGGCAAAGGCAAUUCUGCGUUUGACUCCGUGGCUGCGCGCUAAGGGUUCAGAGGACCUGGAUAUCUUCAUCCUACAUAUCCGACCGGGAUUUUUUUCUGUCCAAGAUCCAGGGGCGUCCGGGGACGGAAGCCUCUCGAUUAAUGAACGUUUGGGCUGCCUCUGCCAUUCAGCUUCCACUCCAGGAGGGGGAGGCAGCAUAGGCUCCACUGGGCUGAUUGUGCUGAAGCGCAAAUUUGAGCUACUGGCAGCUUUCUGCUCUUUCUCACAACACACUUUCAGCAGGAUGGGAGCUCCAAUGCUACGCAGAGGGAGCCUCACGCUAUUGGGCGGCAGUGUCUCCAUGCAGGCGGCAGGGUGUCCCCCAAAGCUGAAGGUGGUUGGGGGCUGGGAAAGGAGCCAGUAGAACACACGCCAGCCCGUACUUGCUAUUUCUUACAACUAUCUUUCCUUGCAGCUCUUGUGAAUAGCACUUUUAUUUCUUAAUCACUUUAUGUUGGUCACAUUUCUUAUCGCUUGGCUUCUCCUGACACACCUUACAAUGUUUGCAGGGCAGACAUAGCUUACGGCUAUAGAGAGGGAAACAGAGGCUCUGAGAAAUUACUAUUGGCAGGAUAACCAAGGUUCUUACACUUUCUGGAUUUUAAUAUAUUUCUUAGUUGUUCUGCUAGACCAUCGAUUCUCAGCCUGUGGGGCGCGACCCCUCGGGUCACAUGACCCUUUCACAGGGUCACCAAAGACUAUCAGAAAACACAGAUAGAUAUAUACCUUAGAAUUCACAACAGUCGCAAACUUGCAGUUACGAAGUAACAACAAAAAUAAUUUUAUGGUUAGGGGUCACCACAAACUGUAUUAAGGAGUCACAGCAUUAGAAAGGUUGAGAAACACUGUCCUAGCCUGUGACAUCACCUUCCACAUCACUGUGCAUCUGGGAAAAAGGGACAUAGAUCUUCCUGACAAAAGCUUGUAAAACGGGCACCUUUUGCAACUACUUUACAUAGACGUUGGAGGAAACUCACACCGCUGGCAAAAGUGUCCACACCAUUAAACAUGGUAUUUUAUAAAAGGCAUACAGUCACACCUUCAUGUAUAUCUGGACACCCCCCAAGAAUAGAAAAUAAUGGCUAUGUGUGCCAUGUGAAUAUGGCACCGAGUCACCAGAUAAAGGUCAUGGCAACUUAAAAGGCAGAAAUCAUUGAAACUAUAUCACUCUUCAAAAUACAACAAGAAUAAAGUUAGCAAAAUAGAAUCCCCCCAAUUGAUAUACAAUUGGAAAUCUAAAGAUGCAUUAAAUCUGGGUUAAACUGUCUGGAGUGGUGGCACAUACUGUAAUUCCAGCAUUGGAAGGUAGAGGCAGGGCAGUUAGGAGUUCAAGUUCAUCUCCAAUACAUAGCAAGGUCUAGGCCAGCCGGGGCUAAAUGAGAUACAACUGAAAAAAAAAAUCAAAUUAAUAAUAAUAACAGAUUAAACCUAGAUCAAAUACAAAUGGAGAAGUUCCAAACUCUUAAGUUUACGAUUUUAGUUCAAAUUGAAAAGGUACAGUGUGCAGUUUGAUAUAUGUGUGCAGUUUGCAAAGAUCAAAUCAUUAUAGUUAACAUUCUAUCUCUGUAACUUAAAGAUCUUUUAUUAGCAUGUAAUAAUUGUAAAUAUUUAUGGGGUACAGUGUAAUCAGAAAUAGUAAGUCUUAGGACUGGAGAGGUGGACUGUAAAGUACUUGCUAUGCAAGCCUGGGGACCUGAGUUCACAUCUCCACCACCCAUGUUUUAAAAAAAUGGACCUUGCAGUACACCUGUAAUGCCAAGGCUUGGAGACAGAUACUGGAGGGUGGGGGACAGGGUACUUGGUAGCCAAAUAGUCUAGCUGAAUCGAUGAUCUCCAGGUCCAGUGAGGGACUCUGUCUCAAAAAUAAUGUGGAAAGCAGUAGAAAAAAAAUGCCAGAAUUCAAACUCUGGCUCCCCAUACAUGUGUACACAUGUGCACACACAUACAUACCAAACACACAUGGGGGGCAUUUGUAAGGAAAGAUGGCACAUAAACGUCAGGUGAGGCCAUUAAACUUCCAACCUUCAGCUGCUGUUUUUUUGCCCAUGAAAAGCUUUGACCCUGAUGUUAGUUCCUGGAACUUGUGAGUUUAUCAAUUGCUAACACUGUAGCUUAUGCAUUGGAACAGGGAAUUUGAGGAGCCAGGAAAAACUGUCUAGAACAUAACAGUUUAAAACUUCACAGUUUAAAAAUUCACACCCUCUAAUGCCAUUCUGCCCCUGACCCACAUAAAACUGAAAUUAUAAACAAAACAAAGUAAGAUAAAGUAUUUACUGAUAAAGCAAUUAGUUAUGUCAACUGAACCUUAUUUUUUUUUUGGCAGACUCCCACUAUGUAACCCUGGCUGGCCUUGAACUCACAGAAAUAUGCCUGUCUGCAGUUGCAUCCUGAGUGCUGGGAUUAAAGGUGUGUACUACCACACUCAGCCUUCAUUUUUGUUGUUUUUAAUUAUGUUUAUUGACUUACAUGGGAGGGGUUGGGGUGCCCACCUUGCACACUGUGUAUGUAUUUGGAGGUGGUUAUCAGGCUUGGCAUCAAGACUUUUACACACUCAGCCAUCUCUUGCUGGACUGUAACUAACUAUUUUGUGACAGCCCUUUCAUUGUCUUAUAAAGUAGCUGUUGCAUAAUAACUAGAGAAUAUAGGCCACUGUAGCAGAAAACCUUAAAAAGUCACACACACACACACACACACA
RNAcentral lists this long non-coding RNA (3146 nucleotides) under Cricetulus griseus (Chinese hamster). Its description in RNAcentral is "lncRNA (ENSCGRG00000025890.1)". Lineage: Eukaryota; Metazoa; Chordata; Mammalia; Rodentia; Cricetidae. The record is from RNAcentral.